Chelonoidis abingdonii (Abingdon island giant tortoise) is the source of this 483-nucleotide non-coding RNA. The record is from the annotation of a RefSeq genome assembly. Lineage: Eukaryota; Metazoa; Chordata; Testudines; Testudinidae.
UCUAAAAGCUGCUGCAGGAUUUCACAAAGGCAGGAAUCAGCUGAACCCCAAGGACAGGGUUGGCUCCUUCUCUCCCUCUGUCCAUCUCCUCCCUGCACCAUGGCCCUGUGCGCUCUGCCUCUCUGUCUCCUGGGGCUGUUCCUGGCAGGUUCUUGUGCCCAGCACGUGGUGACGCAGCCGCCCUCAGUGUCAGGGUCUCUGGGGCAGACAGUGAAACUCUCGUGCAGCGUCAGUGGAGGAUACAGCAUCGGUAGCUAUGGAAUAGGCUGGUACCAACAGACCCCUGGGAAUCCUCCCAGAUACCUGCUCUAUUAUUACAGUGAUUCUAGCACAGGCAGGGGCACUGGGGUCCCGGACCGGUUCUCUGGCUCUGCCUCCGGCAGUGUUGGCUACUUAACCAUCUCUGGGCUCCAAGCCGAGGAUGAUGCUGAUUAUUACUGUGCGACUUGGGACAACAGCGCUAAGAUGCUCACAGUGGUGUAA